CGACAUAAACACAGCAAGUCGAGCGGAAACGGCAGUAUUGAAGCUUCGGUGGAUUUACUGGACGUCGAGCGGCGGACGGGUGAGUAACGGCUGGGAACCUGCCCUGACGAGGGGGAUAACCGUUGGAAACGACGGCUAAUACCGCAUAAUGUCUACGGACCAAAGGUGGCCUCUACAUGUAAGCUAUCGCGUUGGGAUGGGCCCAGUUAGGAUUAGCUAGUUGGUAAGGUAAUGGCUUACCAAGGCGACGAUCCUUAGCUGGUUUGAGAGGAUGAUCAGCCACACUGGGACUGAGACACGGCCCAGACUCCUACGGGAGGCAGCAGUGGGGAAUAUUGCACAAUGGGGGAGACCCUGAUGCAGCCAUGCCGCGUGUGUGAAGAAGGCCUUCGGGUUGUAAAGCACUUUCAGCAGUGAGGAAGGUGGUGUACUUAAUAAGUGCAUGGCUUGACGUUAGCUGCAGAAGAAGCACCGGCUAACUCCGUGCCAGCAGCCGCGGUAAUACGGAGGGUGCGAGCGUUAAUCGGAAUUACUGGGCGUAAAGCGCAUGCAGGCGGUUUGUUAAGUCAGAUGUGAAAGCCCGGGGCUCAACCUCGGAACCGCAUUUGAAACUGGCAGGCUAGAGUCUUGUAGAGGGGGGUAGAAUUUCAGGUGUAGCGGUGAAAUGCGUAGAGAUCUGAAGGAAUACCAGUGGCGAAGGCGGCCCCCUGGACAAAGACUGACGCUCAGAUGCGAAAGCGUGGGUAGCAAACAGGAUUAGAUACCCUGGUAGUCCACGCCGUAAACGCUGUCUACUUGGA
RNAcentral lists this ribosomal RNA (800 nucleotides) under Salinivibrio sp. JSM 074058. Its description in RNAcentral is "bacterial SSU rRNA". It matches the Rfam family "Bacterial small subunit ribosomal RNA", at positions 44 to 821 of the family's 1533-position model. The record is from RNAcentral. Lineage: Bacteria; Pseudomonadati; Pseudomonadota; Gammaproteobacteria; Vibrionales; Vibrionaceae.